Molecule: long non-coding RNA, 5387 nt
Filed under: Callithrix jacchus (white-tufted-ear marmoset)
Lineage: Eukaryota; Metazoa; Chordata; Mammalia; Primates; Cebidae
Description: lncRNA (ENSCJAG00000080599.1)
Source: RNAcentral
AUUCUUGGUCUAUUCUGAUGUAAUUUAGACGUUUACUAUAGAAAAAUCAGUACAUUUUUCAUUGAGAAGAUAUUUAGAUACUAAUUGCAUUCAGAUCCUUGCCUACGUGUUUCUUGUGGCCACAGGUACUCAGAGGAGAUUAGCAUAGGCUACACCUCAAGCGUUUAAUAUAUACACAUAUGUUCUUAUGCUUCCUGGGCCCCGGCCCUCCUACUCCAAAGCUAAAGCAGUCUCUGUUGAGCUCAGCUCAGAGGCAGUUUCAGUCCAGUUUUAUCACACUGGCCAUGUGACAGUAGAAAAAAGCAUUCCAAAGAGAGUGAGAACCUUAAAGAGAGAAACCCCAAAGAGGUGAGAGCCCACAGAAAUUAAAGCUUUAACAUUUUCUCCUGGUAUACAAAAAGCUUCUCCCACUUAGAAAAAGUUAGCUACUUGGGAGGCUGGGGCAGGAGAAUUGCUUGAACCCGAGAGGCGGAGAUUGCAGUAAGCUGAGAUUGUGACACUGCACUCCAGCCUGGGAGACAGAGAAAGACUCUGUUUCAAAAAAAACAAAACAAAACAAAAAAAGAAAAAGUUUAACUGAGUUGGAUAACUUGAUUCAGUCACUUUGUGUCUUUUCCUCUUGGGGAUGGGAUUGGGUAGAGGUAAGGAGAAGAUGGGGUGGAACUUUCCUCUCCUUUUCCUUCUAGAGAUCAGCACCAGGCACUUUGGAGAAAGCAUAAUAAAUAUAAGACGUGACCUUUAUCCCACUUCUCAAAGGACUAGCACAGUCUUUUGGGGAAGAUACACUGCCUCUAGGACUGGGACAGAUAGCCACUGAGAACCUGCUUCAAAUCACCUUGCACAUUUUCUUGUUGGAAAGAUAACCACUGGAGAAGCAUCUUGUUACCUUCAGCAAAAGUGGAAACAAAUCAAGACAUUUAGAAUGCCACAGCGGACAUCAGUGGUUCAGCAGAGGCAGUUUGCAAUACGGUGUACCACACUAGCUAGAAAUCAGAAAAGAUCGAAGCUAGCCUUUUUAUCUCAGCUGCUCCUUAAAUCAGUGCAACCCCUCCAAAUUAAUGUGAAUUAAAACAUGCAUUGCCUUUCAACUUAAUUCAGUACUUACUAUGUGUGAACCACUGCACAAAAUAGGGGAAGAAAAUGAGGGCAACAAAGGUGUGGAGCCUGUCUUCAAUGAAUUUAGAGUUAGUUUCAGGAUACAUUUUUUUUUUCUUCUGCUGUUGAUUAGGUGUAUCCAUAAGACAAGAAAUAAAUGAGUGGAAAAGUAUAUUCUGUAAGUGUUUUGUCUCUGUAAUAAAAACAAAACAAAACAAAACCCCCAAAACUUCUAACAUGGGCAACUCAGGACAUUUUAAUCCCUUUUUUUUGUUGGACUUCUGAUAAGAUCCAUUUUAUUGAUUCCAUAAAUAUUUAGUAGACUUUAGAGAUAUUAAUACAUUAUAGUUUGAGUUAAUUUGCAUUAAAUUCUAUUUUCUCCUCUUAGGUAUAGAUAGUCUGUUGGAAAAAUAUAUUGUUUGUGGAUUUCUUGGGGAGUGGGGAGGUGAAUUUUACCUGUUGUCUCUGUAGUCCACUACCUUCCAUGCCUCCUAGGGCAGUGGUCCCCAACCUUCUUGGCACCAGGGACCAGUUUCCUGAAAGACAAUUUUUCCACUGAUGGUGUGGGGGAUGGUUGUGGGGUGAAACUCUUCCACCUCAGCUCAUCAGGCAUUAGUUAGGUUCUCAUAAGUGCACAGCCUAGAUCCCUCACAUGUGCAGUUCACAGUAGGGUUCGCAUUGCUGUGAGAAUCUAAGGCUGCCACCGACCUGACAGGAGGCAGAGUUCAGGUGGCAAUGCUUACUGGCCCACCUCUUGCUGUGCGGCCUGGUUCCUAGCAGGCCAUGAACUCCUACAUACUGGUCCACAGCUUGAGGACCCGUGUCCUAGGCGCCUGCCAUUCUGAGUGAGUUAUUAGCAUGAAGAAGAGGAAGAUUUGGUCAAACGUGGGUGCUGGUACCCAGAGACCCAAGAUAGGACAGGGAUGGAACAAAACCCAUCUGGGCAAUGGCUCUAUGAAAAUUUGGUUAAGUAAUUAUUUCAGUAUUCAUUGUAUUGUCCUUUGUGUUCCAUAAGUUAAAUGACUGUUCAGUUUUUCCAAAAAUUUAUUUUUGAUGAGUAUAAGUGUGUCAUGAUUUUCCCAGUGUAAAGACACUGAUAUAACUGUAGACACCAGACAUUUUAUGUAGUGUCUGUGACACAUUUUGGUAUGUAUGAGCCAACAAUAGACACAUCUUUGUCUUGAGGAGUGUCCAUCUGAAUUGAAAAUGUGUCAGCUUUUUUCUUAACAUCAUCAACAGACUUCUUAAUUAAGCUGCCAAUACGUACUGCCAAUAGUACUGUGUGCUGCCUGAGAAAUGCAUUGUGUAAGUGCUACUUCCAUCUUAUUAAAUAAACAAUGUUGCUCUGUAUAAACUGGAUUUAAAGUGUUCUUUGAAUGAGGGAUUAUAUUGCUCCAUAAAUAAUGUGAUAGGAAUUAUCAUAUUAUCCCUUUUAAUUUAAUUUCUAAAAAAAUAUUGUUUGUUCCUCAGUAAAGAAUAGCUCUAAUUGGACUGGUAACUUUAAUGAUAUGAUUCAUCUAUAACAGGCUGAAUCGUCUCAUCCCCAAACUCCUGGUUGCGAUACAGGAUAUUUGUUAUGCCGCUUUCAGUUUGCAUGAAGUAUCUUCCAAGAAGUCUUAGUUAUUAACUUGUGUUAUAAGAAACUGUAUUUAUUUCCUGUUCUGGAAGAUUUCUUGGAGGGUCCAUCUGUAUAUUCCUGGUGCCUAGCAUAGUCUUGCUAAUGGAAUAGUACCUUUAUUGGUGCUAUUUAGGGGUUGGUAGUUUAUAAUCAAUCUACUUAGAAUUAAUCCAAAUAAACUGGAUUUUUUUUAGUAUAUGUGCUGCCGAAGCGAGCACUAAACUGGAUAUUUUUAUAUAGUCUAGUCCCCUGGCCUCUUAUUUGGUAUCUUGGAUUUGCCAUUUCAGCCCUGUUAUUUGUACCAACAUCCACUCUGCUGCCCUGGGCCCUGGCCCACACUCUACGCAUGGACAAGGCUUUUGGAGGGGCUGCUCCACUUCUCAUGCACCGGCCCAUCUGUCAGUAGAAUAGCAAUCUCUGUAUUCACAGGGUACUCAUGGUGUGUCAGAUACUAAACAACUUUACAUAUAUUCUCUCAAUUAUCUCUUUUAAAUCUCACAAUAACAAUUUGAAGUAGGCCCUAUGAGCUGUGGAGGUAUGUAUCUUGCUUAAGCUGUGGAACUCCAAAUCCAGACCUCUUAGACCCAAAGCCUGAAUGAUUACAUCCCUACUCUGUGCCAUAUCCUAGGAGAAAGUCCCAGUGCCUGGCGUGUGUGUGUGUGUGUAGGGUAGAGUAGAUAAAAUCUUUACGUAGUCCAGAUUUACUGCAUUUAAUAUUCCUGAACAGCAAACUGUCUAACAAAUAAAACCCAGCAAAUCACAGUUGUUUUGAGAAUGGAGGAAGGGCAGAGCAACUGGGAGAAAGCAAAGUUGGAAACAAACCAAUUUGAGUCAAACCACUGGCCUUUACCUUACACAGCUUUUUUUUUUUUUCAACUUACUUUUUUUUAACAUGGCCUGACACCAUAUGAUAAAGCCUGACAUAAUUGACCCAGAAUUGAUCCCCAAAUGUCUUUUGGGGGAACAUGCUUUAACUCUGAUUGUUGAUUCUGAGGAAUAAUUGCCACCCUAGAAAGGUAAUUACAUAUGCCAUUGUUUAUACACAUAAUAGGCUCAGAAUGCAUGUUCUGCACAAAUCGAGAGAGAAUCCUACUUGCACAUUUGGGGUGUGUGCUAUGUAUUGUGUUGGGAUGCCACAAAUAGCAUUUGAACUGCUCCCUGUUACUGCUGAUUUUUCCAGCGUGUGUGUGUAAGUGCAUAAGGGAGAGGUUAGGAGCAAGGUAGGUUGUGGGUCAUGGAAGGCUGUUUGUUGAGCUGAAUGGUAGUGAUUUGCUUUUCCUUAAUUUUUUUGUUUACCAAAACAUCUUUUGGAUCUAAUUCAUUUAGCUUGGUCUGGUAAAAAGACUAGUUUCUCUGUGCUUGACAUAUGCUUAUUAAUGAGUUCUCAUAUUUCUUUCCCUCAAGGUCUGUUUACUUUGUGGAAAUAAUGUAGUGAGAAUCCUUCUACACAACAUCCUCCUAAAUGCCCUGGUUUUGACCACCCCUUUAAGUAUUAAUACACAAGUCCGUCAGGUAAGGUGGUAGCUAGUGCCUUUCCUCUGCUGUGCUUUCUGGUCAAACAUAAAUGGAUUUUAAGCCACAAAUGACCAAUUAAAGCACUUCAUGCCCUUUUCCUUUAGCCAUAAGAUAGUAGUUAUCCUAAGUAAAUACAGCAAACAGGCUAUUCUGGGAUAGUCUAAGACAAGGAACUUAAUAUUUUACAAAAUCAAAGUCUUAAGAAAACCAAAAUGUCCUGAGUUUUUGUAGUGCUGCACAAUGAAACAAAUAUGCAGGUAUUCCAAUAUGGAACUGAGCAUUGUCUGAGGCUGAAGCCAUCCAUCGUGGGCUAUUCUCUGCUACAGUGUCCAGCAAAUUGCAGGACCUGCUUGUUAGGCUUGACAACAGUGUUUUACUUAACAAAGGCCUCUGCAGCACCAAGCAGCAGUGGAAUGUCAGAAUGAGCACAUUUCACACACAGAUGUGCAGCCAUAAUAGCCUAUAAGAAGAUGCAUGUGGCAGGGGGCUGCGGGUGGGGGCGGGGUGAGGAGGGUGCUUGCAGUGGUGUGGUGUGUGAGUAUGUAGGUUGGGGGCCAGGAGGAGGGGGAGGCCAACAGUUAGCAAUAGGGUCGUGGCCCCACUGACCACAUUUAAUCAGCUCUCUGUAAACAAUUCCACAUUUUCAUUGUUCUCUAAAAACUAAUAAAGAGAAACAAGCACUUUUCAUUCAUCUUGAAGUAAUUUUCUGUCAGGUUGGAGCCCCUCGUGGCCUCCAGCUUGUGCAAUGCUAGCUGUGUGAUACAACAACUAUUGCAAUUUAUUUUACAAACUCUGGUCAUUCACAUGUCAGUUAGUGUUCACCAAGCCGGCAUCUGAAAUUGUGCAGUUAACGAGUUUUACAACAUUUCUAUCAAGAGAAACUGUUUAGCAUAACUGACUCUUAAGGAGUUAUUAUACCUCUAAAAAUCCAUUUUAAGGGGCAUUAUUUAAAUAAAAUAGAAAAACGGUUCACUGCCUUUUAAAGGGGCUACAAAAAAAGUCCAUCAGCUCCAGAGCAGUAAUCCUCAGCUUAAAGCACUCUUGAGAGUACUUCUGGGAAUUGUCAGCAUAAUGAAAUGUUUUGUGAAAUGUCCAGAUAGAUUCCUCUACUCAACAAUUUUACUGCACCAUAUUUAUUUUCCUUCCAGUUUUUAAAGAA